RNAcentral lists this transfer RNA (72 nucleotides) under Ictidomys tridecemlineatus (thirteen-lined ground squirrel). Its description in RNAcentral is "Spermophilus tridecemlineatus (thirteen-lined ground squirrel) tRNA". It matches the Rfam family "tRNA". Rfam says of the family: Transfer RNA (tRNA) molecules are approximately 80 nucleotides in length. Their secondary structure includes four short double-helical elements and three loops (D, anti-codon, and T loops). Lineage: Eukaryota; Metazoa; Chordata; Mammalia; Rodentia; Sciuridae. The record is from Rfam by way of RNAcentral.
GGGGAUAUAGUUCAGUUGGUAGAAUGUUUGCCUGCCAUGACAAGGACCUGGGUUCAAUCCCCAUUGCCACCA